RNAcentral lists this ribosomal RNA (440 nucleotides) under uncultured bacterium. RNAcentral describes it as "partial 16S ribosomal RNA". It matches the Rfam family "Bacterial small subunit ribosomal RNA", at positions 338 to 795 of the family's 1533-position model. The record is from RNAcentral.
CCUACGGGGGGCAGCAGUGGGGAAUAUUGCACAAUGGGGGAAACCCUGAUGCAGCGACGCCGCGUGAGCGAUGAAGUAUUUCGGUAUGUAAAGCUCUAUCAGCAGGGAAGAAAAUGACGGUACCUGACUAAGAAGCCCCGGCGAACUACGUGCCAGCAGCCGCGGUAAUACGUAGGGGGCAAGCGUUAUCCGGAUUUACUGGGUGUAAAGGGAGCGUAGACGGCUUUGCAAGCCAGAUGUGAAAGCCCGGGGCUCAACCCCGGGAUUGCAUUUGGAACUGUGUGGCUGGAGUGUCGGAGAGGCAGGCGGAAUUCCUAGUGUAGCGGUGAAAUGCGUAGAUAUUAGGAAGAACCCCGAUUGCGAAGGCAGCAUACCGGGGCACAACUGACGCUCAGGCACGAAAGCGUGGGUAUCGAACAGGAUUAGAUACCCCAGUAGUC